AACGAACGUUGGCGGCGUGGAUUAGGCAUGCAAGUCGAACGAAGACGGUUGGGUAGCAAUAUUUGACCGGACUGAGUGGCGAAAGGGGCAGUAAUGCGUGGGCAACCUACCUCCGGGAUGGGCAUAGCCGGCCUAACGGCCGGGUAAUUCCCAGCGAUUUGGCGAGGCGGCAUCGUCUUGCCAAGAAAUGGAUUCCGCCUGGAGAGGGGCUCACGUCGUAUUAGCUAGUUGGCGGGGAACGGCCCACCAAGGCGAAGAUGCGUAGCGGGUGUGAGAGCACGACCCGCGCCACUGGCACUGAGACACUGGCCAGACACCUACGGGUGCUGCAGUCGAGGAUCUUUGGCAAUGGGCGCAAGCCUGACCAAGCGACGCCGCGUGUGCGAUGAAGGCCUUGG
RNAcentral lists this ribosomal RNA (398 nucleotides) under uncultured bacterium. RNAcentral describes it as "bacterial SSU rRNA". It matches the Rfam family "Bacterial small subunit ribosomal RNA", at positions 28 to 420 of the family's 1533-position model. The record is from RNAcentral.